Molecule: ribosomal RNA, 735 nt
Filed under: Triticum aestivum (bread wheat)
Lineage: Eukaryota; Viridiplantae; Streptophyta; Magnoliopsida; Poales; Poaceae
Description: partial small subunit ribosomal RNA
Source: RNAcentral
AUGAAAGUUUAUACCGCGGAACAUGUGACCGCCCUAGAUAAUGCCAUUGGGAAAACCAGAUUGUUCUAUAUAGGAAUGAAGAUUGAUUUGGUAUCCAGAUUCCCCAUAAGUUAUGUCAUAAAGAAAAGCUUCCCAGUUGACAAUGCACAAAUGCUGCCCUCUACAAAGUCAACUCCAAGCAAAGAACUGGAGAAGAGUCCAGCGUCAUCAAAGAGCAUCCAGAGGUUUGCCAUCAAUCACAAAAUAGAAGCUACAUCCUCUGUCUACAAAAUGUUUACCAAACUUUUCCUAUUCGUAGUCCGGGGAGCCAAAACACAAGUCCACUUGGGCAAUACUAUGCCUCCUGCUUGCCAAUCUGCAACUAUGGACACCGACAAAAACAUAAAUAGGUACUCUUCAGCGAAAAGAAGCAUCCAAUUUACAGAAGAUGGAGCCACCAACAAAGAGGGUACAUCUACCUAUUUACAUGCCAGUCAACAAACAGAGUACACAUUGAUAACAAUAUUUCCUGUUUACAUGCCAGUCAACAACAGGAACAUCUUCAGGAUACACAAGUGCAUCUCCAGGUUGUCAAAAAGCAUAAACAAGAAUAACAAUGUGAAAAUGAACAAAUGUGAAGGACAAGAGGAUAACGGGCACCGUCAACAACCAUGCAAGGACCAAGGAAUCUUCAAGACGCACGAAAAGCACCUACGGAUUGCACCACCUUCCAUUGAAAAUUACCUCCAAAACUAA